CCUACGGGAUGCACCAGUGGGGAAUAUUGCACAAUGGGCGCAAGCCUGAUGCAGCCAUGCCGCGUGUAUGAAGAAGGCCCUAGGGUUGUAAAGUACUUUCAGUCGGGAGGAAGGCGUUGAUGCUAAUAUCAUCAACGAUUGACAUUACCGACAGAAGAAGCACCGGCUAACUCCGUGCCAGCAGCCGCGGUAGUACGGAGGGUGCAAGCGUUAAUCGGAAUUACUGGGCGUAAAGCGCACGCAGGCGGUUGAUUAAGUUAGGUGUGAAAUCCCCGGGCUUAACCUGGGAAUGGCAUCUAAGACUGGUCAGCUAGAGUCUUGUAGAGGGGGGUAGAAUUCCAUGUGUAGCGGUGAAAUGCGUAGAGAUGUGGAGGAAUACCGGUGGCGAAGGCGGCCCCCUGGACAAAGACUGGCGCUCAGGUGCGAAAGCGUGGGGAGCAAACGGGAUUAGAUACCCUCGUAGUC
This 465-nucleotide ribosomal RNA is filed under the name uncultured bacterium. Its description in RNAcentral is "bacterial SSU rRNA". It matches the Rfam family "Bacterial small subunit ribosomal RNA", at positions 338 to 795 of the family's 1533-position model. The record is from RNAcentral.